Drosophila willistoni is the source of this 563-nucleotide long non-coding RNA. RefSeq lists it as uncharacterized. NCBI's taxonomy places the organism in Eukaryota, Metazoa, Arthropoda, Insecta, Diptera, Drosophilidae. The record is from RefSeq and is a predicted model, not a curated record. The transcript has 4 exons.
CAUGAAGAGGAAGCAUGGUGCAUAUAGUUGCCACCUAAUUGAUCGUAUAUGAGUUAAAUACACACGCAUGCUUUUGCAACAUAUCUUGUCAGAUUCUUAAAAAAGUUGCUGAGCACAAAACAAAUUUUUAGCAAAGUGUUUCAUUAAAAAUACAAAGUGUGCUGUGCCUGAAAAAGGUGUAUUCACUGUACUUUGGAAAAACAGUUACAAAUAAACUUAUACUAGGCCGUGUGCAUAAAGUACGCUACAGUUUCAGUUUUGUAUGUACCGCAGGGUCAAUCAUAUAAACACCCUUGCACCUACAACUAAAACCAAAACGGAUUGUACAAUUGCCAGUUUCAGAGCUGUCCCUUAUAUUCGUUUUCCUACUGAUUUGAUUUAGGAUUGUGUAUUCCUACUGCUAAAUUUUUCCAAAUGUAAGUGUUUGUUUACAAGCAUCGCAUUUGAAAUGUUUUAAAUAAACGAAAACAAAAAAAACUGCCAAUUGCUAAACUAAAAUCAAUCUGGCAACUCUGUGUCUCUAAAUACCAAAAAAAUUCAAAUAUACCGAACGUGUUUAAAGG